CUGGCCGCUACCAUAGCAAUUGUUUUUGUUAAUAUAGCAAUAGUCAUUGUUUACAAUAACACAACCACAAAAGUCAUUAUGACAGAACUGUUAAACGUUAAACUACGAUUAUUUUCGUGUAAUAAUAAUAUCCUAAAAUUAUAAUAAAUUAAAUAGCAAAAAUUUCAUAAUAAAUUUAUAAUAAGUGCUUAAUAAGUUUAAUAUAAAGUUCAACACUAUUUCAAACAUUUAUUAGUUAAAAUAAAUUAAAAUAAAAUUAACUCCAAAAAAUAAAUACAAAAAAAUGGACUCUUCGUCUGAAGGCUCCACUGAUGAAGAAGAAGUGCUGCGAUUAUUUGAUAAAGAAGCUAAAGUUAUUGUGCAGAGUGAAACGUUACCAAAGAAAUCAGCUGAUCGAUACAUGCAAAAUUAUAAUGCCUACAAAAACUGGAAGGAAAAAAAUAAAAAUUCCCUCUCGACGUCAGAAGAAAACAAUUUAAUUGUUUAUUUUAAAGAUUUAAAAAAAAGGUUAAGUCCAUUAACUCUAUGGAGCGUGUGGAGUAUGCUAAAAAAGACAUUAAAUACCAAUGAUGAUAUACAGAUAAAUAAUUUCUUAAAUUUAAAAAGUAUGAUUAAACGAAAUGCUAAAGGACACAGACCGAAGAAAUCUUUUAUUUUAACAUGGGAACAAAUUAAAAAAUUUAUUGAUGAAGCUCCUGACUCAGAAUAUUUAGCAGUGAAGGUUGUAUUAAUAUUUGGAAUAUGUGGCUGCUUACGAUGUUUAGAAUUAACAAACAUGAAAGUUGGAGACGUAGAAGAUUUGAAUGGGAGGUACUUAAUAUCUAUCAAUGACAAUAAAAAUGAUUACCCUGGCCAAUUUAUUAUUGGGAAUCUCUUCUACGCUAAAGUUAAAACUUAUAUUUCCAAGAGACCAUCUGGUAAUUUCAAUGACAGGUUUUUCAUCCAAUACACGAAAGACAGAUGUACUCGAACUCCUAUAGGACGUCAUACUAUAGGAGGAAUGCCGAAAAAAAUUGCGACUUAUUUGGAUCUGCCUAACAUCAAUAGACAUACCGGCCACUGCUUUAGAAGAUCAUCUGCAACGCUUCUCUCGAACUCCGGCGCGAACAUGCAGAUGAUCAAACAGCUAGGGAGAUGGCGUUCAGAUGUGAUCGCCCAGGGCUACGUUUAAAAUUCCUUACACAACAGGCAGAUGAUUUUCAAUGAAAUAAUCCAGAAUGAGACCGAGGUAAUUCCUGAACCCCGACCAUCAACCAGCACAGCAGAACCCGACAUUUUAUACCCUCAAUCCGUAAUUAAUAAUGCUCAAGACGCAACCAUUGAUUCCCAAGAAGAAACCAUCAACGCUCAUGAAGAAACUGUUAACCCCGAAAAUUCAACGAUUAAUCCCGAAGAAGCGAAUGUUAACACCGAACAAGAAACCCACGAGUUUGAAUCAGCACUUAUCGAUUUAAAUUGGUCAGAUUUUGAGGAUGAUUUUACUGAAACGGACCCUAAACAAACUUCGAUUCCAACCGUCGUACCCACUGGUUUUACUACAGCGAAUCAAAAGCCACUUUUUGUGCCACAGAAGACUCAAAACCAACUAAUAAUGAAUAAUAAUACUAAUAAUAAU
RNAcentral lists this unclassified non-coding RNA (1615 nucleotides) under Cotesia glomerata. RNAcentral's name for it is "uncharacterized LOC123261158, transcript variant X1". The record is from RNAcentral. Lineage: Eukaryota; Metazoa; Arthropoda; Insecta; Hymenoptera; Braconidae.